Non-coding RNA from Petromyzon marinus (sea lamprey), 146 nucleotides. The record is from RefSeq and is a predicted model, not a curated record. Lineage: Eukaryota; Metazoa; Chordata; Hyperoartia; Petromyzontiformes; Petromyzontidae.
UGUGAGUAUCACCAGGUAUGUGUGAGUAUCACCUUGUAGCAGGCCCAGUGUGCUAGUACCACCAGGUAUGUGAGUAUCACCAGGUAGGUGUGAGUACCACCAGGUAUGUGUGAGUAUCACCUUGUAGCAGGCCCAGUGUGCUAGUA